CGGUUCGGCAAGACCUCGCGGAGCCUGGCGGUGGCGCGGGGACUCGGGAGCCGGCGGUCCCACCCCGCGGCGAGUGUCCUAGCAGCUCUUGGCUCACUCGCUGAGCCUGGACGCCACCCCAGUGCCCACCACCUGGGGAGUGGAGGGGUCAGCUCUGGAAGGUCCUCGGCAAGGCGCACCCGCACAGCCCCGCGCCGGGACGGGGAGACCUCGACGACGUGGCAGUAAGAGACGAAAACCCAGCCGUGUCUCUGCCCGGCUGGGCCCCGGGGCGCUGCAGGCUCCCCUGCCGACGCCCGCCCGCCUCCUGCUCCCCCGUGGCCCCCCGCGCUCUAGAACGGGGGGCUUCGCAGGAGAACGGCUGCUCUCUGGAUAUUUCACCUGCAGGCGAGGACACCGAGGCCCAGAGCAGUUCAGCGAUUUGCCAGACAUCACCUACCCAGUGCCCUGUGUUCGUCUCCUGGGACCACAGGCGGGGGCUUGAAGAGCAGACGUUUAUUCUCUCACGUUCUGGAGGCUGGGAGUUCAAGACCACGGCGUGGGCAGGGCACCGCGAACCCCACUGUCUCGUGUGUUUGAAAUCUGCUGAUUUUACCAAACGUGAUCAGACGCUGGGGAACGACUCCUGCCCCCGCCCAACCCUCCUCUCCCCCCCCUUCGCCCCCCCACCCCGUCACCCUGCUGGCCUCCAGCCCAGUUAAGGGGAAUGUCCACCGCAGAAGGCCCAGUGCUUCAGAGAGGAUAAAACACCCUCUAAAUGCACAUUAUUGUUAUUUUUAUUACAGGCAUCAGAGCAAAACCACCAGUUUAAAAGAGCUAAUUUAGUUAGGUCAGGCAUAAGUGCUACUCGAGUUGAAAACUCAUUCUCCUUUGCGGUAUUUUCUUUUGGGUAUAAAUCAAGAGAAGGGCUCUAAAAAUAUUUUUAGUAUGAGUGGCGUUCAAUCAUCUGGUCAGUCACCUCUCAGCAUACUUACCGACGGGGACCUCCGUGUGAUUCCCCCGACGGGCCUGCCCACAGGCCCGCCUUCCUCCCUCCACUCAAACCGUAUCUGAUUUCACCGGUUCCAAAAGGGAGCGGAGAACUCCACCGCCCACGACUGUGCAGCGCGGGGGAGGGGCUCCACUGCAGACCCACGCUGUGUGGACCUGGGGAGAGCUCUCCUGGUUACGUGGGGUGGGGGGGCUCCCGUGGGGUGGGGGGACUCCCCUCUCCACUCGCCUGUGCCUCCCCAGAACGGCCCUCCCUCCCCCCCACCCCACCCCCCAGUGGACACACAACCCAAGUCCUCGUGUGAAAGUUAAAUAUUCCCGGGAGGCCAAACGCCGUGUACCAGGACUGGCGCACGGGCCACUCGGCUGCUGGCCCCGCCUGAGCCCGGGGUGGACGUUCCUAAUCCAUCAGGCUCGGCACCCGCUAAGCCUGCUCUCCGGCGGGGGGCCCAGGCAGACGCCCCCACGACCAGAGUCAGCCCGUGGGUGGGGACCGGCAGCCACCCCCACCUGAACCCCCGGUGGGGAAGAAGACCAGGACGAGGGAGAGGAAGGUGAUGGGUGUAACCCACGACGUGUACAAAAUUAAAUAAACUGUGGCAAAAUGCACAUCACGUCAAAAUUGCCACCUUAACCGGU
Long non-coding RNA from Neofelis nebulosa (Clouded leopard), 1629 nucleotides. RefSeq lists it as uncharacterized. Lineage: Eukaryota; Metazoa; Chordata; Mammalia; Carnivora; Felidae. The record is from RefSeq and is a predicted model, not a curated record. The transcript is spliced from 5 exons.